AUAUAAGUGAGAGACCGAUAGCAAACAAGUACCGUGAGGGAAAGAUGAAAAGAACUUUGAAAAUAGAGUUAACAGUACGUGAAAUUGCUGAAAGGGAAACGUUUGAAGUUAAUUUUGUAUUCGUUGGAUCAGCUUCGCAAGGAGUGUAUUCUGAUGAUAAGCAAGUCAACAUCAGUCUAUGAGUGUUGGAUAAGGGUUUUGAGAAUGUAGCAAUUUAAUUGUGUUAUAGCUUGAGACUUGGAUACGAUGCUUUGGAUUGAGGAACGCGUAGUAAGCUUUGAGCGGAUUCGAAAGGAUCUCCUUACUAUGGAUGUUGGUGAAAUAACUUUAAGCGACCCGUCUUGAAACACGGACC
RNAcentral lists this ribosomal RNA (355 nucleotides) under uncultured fungus. Its description in RNAcentral is "LSU rRNA". It matches the Rfam family "Eukaryotic large subunit ribosomal RNA", at positions 320 to 667 of the family's 3401-position model. Lineage: Eukaryota; Fungi. The record is from RNAcentral.